GAUGAACGCUGGCGGCGUGCUUAACACAUGCAAGUCGAGCGGACAGGCGAUGCUUUUGUGGGGUGCUCGUGUGGCGCACGGGUGAGUAACACGUGUGUAUCAUGUCCUUGUCUUUGGGAUAUCUUCUGGAAACUCGGGCUAAUAUCGGAUAGGAUCUCUUGCUGCACGGUGGGGGUUGGUAAGUUUCGGCGGUUCGGGAUCGUCUCGCGGCUUAUCCGCUAGUUGGUGUGGUAGUGGCUUACCAAGCCUAUGACGGCUAGCCGGCCUGAGAGGGUGACCGGCCACAUUGGGACUGAGAGACGGCCCAGACUCCUACGGGAGGCAGCAGGGGAAAAUAUGACACAAUGAGCGGAAGCCUGUGGCGGCGACCCCGCGUGCGGAAUAACGGCCUUCGGGUUAUAAACAGAUUUCGCCGGUAACGAAGCGUGAGUGACGGUAAUGGGUAAGAAAGCACCGGCUAACUACGUG
Molecule: ribosomal RNA, 468 nt
Filed under: uncultured bacterium
Lineage: Bacteria
Description: partial 16S ribosomal RNA
Rfam family: Bacterial small subunit ribosomal RNA
Source: RNAcentral